RNAcentral lists this ribosomal RNA (484 nucleotides) under uncultured bacterium. RNAcentral describes it as "partial 16S ribosomal RNA". It matches the Rfam family "Bacterial small subunit ribosomal RNA", at positions 30 to 507 of the family's 1533-position model. The record is from RNAcentral.
AUUGAACGCUGGCGGCAGGCCUAACACAUGCAAGUCGAGCGGAUGAAGGGAGCUUGCUCCUGGAUUCAGCGGAGGACGGGUGAGUAAUGCCUAGGAAUCUGCCUGGUAGGGGGGGAUAACGUCCGGAAACGGGCGCUAAUACCGCAUACGUCCUGAGGGAGAAAGUGGGGGAUCUUCGGACCUCACGCUAUCAGAUGAGCCUAGGUCGGAUUAGCUAGUUGGUGGGGUAAAGGCCUACCAAGGCGACGAUCCGUAACUGGUCUGAGAGGAUGAUCAGUCACACUGGAACUGAGACACGGUCCAGACUCCUACGGGAGGCAGCAGUGGGGAAUAUUGGACAAUGGGCGAAAGCCUGAUCCAGCAAUGCCGCGUGUGUGAAGAAGGUCUUCGGAUUGUAAAGCACUUUAAGUUGGGAGGAAGGGCAGUAAGUUAAUACCUUGCUGUUUUGACGUUACCAACAGAAUAAGCACCGGCUAACUUCGUG